GACGAACGCUGGCGGCGUGCUUAACACAUGCAAGUCGAACGGAAAGGCCCUGCUCGCAGGGUACUCGAGUGGAGAACGGGUGAGUCACACGUGGGUGAUCUGCCCUGCACUUCGGGAUAAGCCUGGGUAACUGGGUCUAAUACCGGACAGGAGCCAUUUUUAGUGUGAUGGUUGGAAAGUUUUUUCGGUGUAGGGUGAGCUCGCGGCCUAUCAGCUUGUUGGUGGGGUAAUGGCCUACCAAGGCGGCGACGGGUAGCCGGCCUGAGAGGGUGGACGGCCACAGUGGGGCUGAGAUACGGCCCAGACUCCUACGGGAGGCAGCAGUGGGGAAGAUUGCACAAUGGGCGCAAGCCUGAUGCAGCGACGCCGCGUGGGGGAUGACGGCCUUCGGGUUGUAAACUCCUUUCGCUAGGGACGAAGCUUUUUGUGACGGUACCUAGAUAAGAAGCACCGGCUAACUACGUG
Molecule: ribosomal RNA, 465 nt
Filed under: uncultured bacterium
Lineage: Bacteria
Description: partial 16S ribosomal RNA
Rfam family: Bacterial small subunit ribosomal RNA
Source: RNAcentral